This 1776-nucleotide long non-coding RNA is filed under the name Panax ginseng (ginseng). Its description in RNAcentral is "long non-coding RNA (PGIN_LNC015637)". Lineage: Eukaryota; Viridiplantae; Streptophyta; Magnoliopsida; Apiales; Araliaceae. The record is from RNAcentral.
CAUCAAUCAAAACAUCCGCGACGGUUUCUUUCGGUGGAAGCUCAGCUCACUCCCAUAGGCCAUAAACCCUCAAUAAUACUCUCAGCUCAGGUUCGCAAUCUCAGCCCCAUCUCUCUCUUUCUCUCUCUAAAUUUGUAUGUAUUAUGUACAAAAUCAUCAUGUAUACAUAACUAUAUCUGCAUUUGUUUCAUUGCGAUUGAUAUCACUGAUCAAUUUUUUUUGUUGGACAAUUACCGUCUUCUUUUGCUUUCGUAGCUGUGGAGGCUUCACAUUUAUUAGGGCAAUUUGUUGUUGUUGUGAAUUUAAUUUGUAGAAGAUUCUUAAUGUAAUGGUGGGCAGUGGCUAAGUCAGGAAUAAUUUUCAGUUAGGUCAAAAUUAUUACUAAGUUAUAAUUAAUUUGGCCAGAGUUCGGGGGACCCGAGUUAAAUUAUAAUGACAACAUAAUAAAUAAUAAUAAUAACUAAUCACAACUGUUCAUAAGUAAUUAAUUCAUUAAUUAUUUUUAAAAAUAAUAUAAAUUAGAUUAUUAUUUAGUUUAAAAUAUUAUAGAGACAUGUAUAUAUAUUGAGGAUACGAGUUAAAAUUUGAUUGACAAAGUUAUAAAUUUUCAAUUUGAUCCCGUAUAAUAGAAAAUUUAUAAAAUUUUAGUGGGGUCAAUUUAUAUAUAAUACUUAAAUUUUUUAAAAUUUACCUUACAUUAUAAAGCAAUUAUUUUUUUUCAGUGGGGUCAAUUGACCCCACAAUGCUCAUGUAGCUUCGCCCCUGAUGGUGGGGAAGUUAUCACAGUGUGUUCACAUAUUAUGUCCAUAUGAAUGAUGAAUUAGUCAUGCUGUUUUAGUUGUGGGAAACAGUUUAAAUUCAGGCUUUCUUAUCCAGAUUUUAAAAUCGCACUUAUUUUGUAUAAGAUUAACUUAUGAACAUUAUUUUCCCUUUAUUUUUCAACAUUACCAAUUGGAGUGGACUCCAUUAUGUAAGAUAAUAUUCGAAGGAAACAAUUUUUUUACACAAGUUUCAAAAUCUUUGAAAGUUCUUGAAACAACAGUCACACAAGGUGUCCCGGCCCUUCCGGGUUAUGAAUGAGGUAUCAUAUGAGGCUAUGAGUCCACACCACACAUUAUAAUUUAAGGUAUUCUGGAGUGUAUAAAAUACCAAUUAAGGCUUUACAAUCCCUUUGGGCUCAACAUCAUCCCAGGCUUUUGUGUGGUCCAAAGUAUCAUUAACACGUGGCAAACCUGAAGUAAAAUUUGCAUGACUGGUGAUUCCAAUUUGUAGCUGGACUUAUCUUCUCUAAUAUUGAUAUCCACAUGCAUAGGAGGUGUCAAUAUUAAUAUGUUCAAGCUUCCUGCAGUCUCCUAUCCUUUAGAAUGUAGUUAAAGUGGACUCAUGCAUAUUGCAUUUAUUAUAGUUUUCUAGUUGUCUCAAUGCAAAUAACUCAUUUAAUAAGAAUAGUUGGUAAAUGUACAGAUUAUCCUUUUGAACAACCUUAUUUCAUUGAGCUCGCAUAUAAACAGGUUUUUAUGGAUUAUUCCCGAUCUUUUUAUGAACAUCCACCCAAACUGUUUAUGUCGUGGACCGGAGCAUUUCUUUUGCUAACAUAUGCAUUUGUGGUGUAUAUAAAAGUAACCCUGUAAGUGGUCACCGCUACACUGUGCAAGGCGUUCUUUGGCUAAAAUGUUUUCUUAACAUAUAAAGUGUCUAAAUAGUCCCAAUUCAGCCUUUUACAGACGGUUCUUUUACUAGAAGCUCAGUGACACAAACCUCUCUACUCUACUCAGG